RNAcentral lists this ribosomal RNA (108 nucleotides) under Bacteroidales bacterium. Lineage: Bacteria; Pseudomonadati; Bacteroidota; Bacteroidia; Bacteroidales. RNAcentral also lists the same sequence under 2 other names. The record is from RNAcentral.
UAAGGUGGUUAUGGCAGCGAGGUCCCACCUCUUCCCAUUCCGAACAGAGAAGUUAAGCUCGCUAUCGCCGAUGGUACUGAAUUUCGGGAGAGUAGGUAGCCGCCGCUU